Molecule: long non-coding RNA, 648 nt
Organism: Cannabis sativa
Lineage: Eukaryota; Viridiplantae; Streptophyta; Magnoliopsida; Rosales; Cannabaceae
Exons: 2
Source: RefSeq, a predicted model, not a curated record
UACCGCUUGCGCUGUCCACAAAUUUCAAAAGUGUCAUUAAGCUAUCAACGUUGCUUUUGUAUCGACCUCUUUCCUCCUCUGGGUUUAGCAGAUAAGCACUUGGGCUCCUGUUUAUUCCUCCCUUUUCUACAUCCCCUUAGUUUAAUGGUGACGAGUUGUGAAGCCAUUCCAGAGUCAAGAUUAACAAAAGCAAACCUGGGACCCUGUGAAUCCUCAUCGGCCACUAUGAAAGUCCUGGCACGUAGUCGAAAAUGGACACCAGCAGUGGUUUGGUAAAUGUUAGCAUAGCCCAUCAUGUUGACCCCAGCUGCAGGACCAGUCAUGUCGUAGCUCCCAACUCCAAUCAAGUAUUCCCCAUUACUCACCCUAAUCAUCAGAUUAUUAAUAUUCACACACCAAAUUAUCACUAGUGAUAAAACAGAAGAGUAGUGGUAAUGGUAAUGUAUUUUCAGUCCCCUCAUGAUGCCUUUGUUUUCAAAAUUGAGUACGUAUAUUGUUACAUAAUGAAGUAUAUAUAUAUAUAUAUAUAUAUAUAUAUAUAUAUAUUAUCUGUGUGUGUAAUUCUGGGAAUUUUAGGAUUCUUCUUUCCACAAAUCAAACAUAAUAUUCCAUGGGUUAUAGCUACCUUUGGUGCUGUGAUUGUCUUUA